CCCUUAGAUGUUCUGGGCCGCACGCGCGCUACACUGACGAUGGCAACGAGUUUUUCCUUCGCCGAAAGGUGUGGGUAAUCUUUUGAAACAUCGUCGUGCUGGGGAUAGAUCAUUGCAAUUUUUGAUCUUGAACGAGGAAUUCCUAGUAAGCGCGAGUCAUCAGCUCGCGUUGAUUACGUCCCUGCCCUUUGUACACACCGCCCGUCGCUACUACCGAUUGAAUGACUCGGUGAAAAAUUGGGACUGUGAUUGAAAUUGCUUCAUUGCGAAUUUAAUUAUGGAAACUUUCUUUAACCUAGGCAUUUAGAGGAAGGUGAAGUCGUAACA
RNAcentral lists this ribosomal RNA (327 nucleotides) under uncultured eukaryote. Its description in RNAcentral is "partial 18S ribosomal RNA". It matches the Rfam family "Eukaryotic small subunit ribosomal RNA", at positions 1470 to 1796 of the family's 1831-position model. The record is from RNAcentral.